RNAcentral lists this ribosomal RNA (253 nucleotides) under uncultured bacterium. RNAcentral's name for it is "partial 16S ribosomal RNA". It matches the Rfam family "Bacterial small subunit ribosomal RNA", at positions 524 to 776 of the family's 1533-position model. The record is from RNAcentral.
UACGAAGGGUGCAACCGUUGCUCGGAAUUAUUGGGCGUAAAGCGCACGUAGGCGGUUUGUCGCGUCGAAUGUGAAAACCCGGGGCUCAACCCCGGGCCUGCAUUCGAUACGGGCAGACUAGAGUUCGGUAGGGGAGUCUGGAAUUCCUGGUGUAGCGGUGAAAUGCGCAGAUAUCAGGAGGAACACCGGUGGCGAAGGCGGGACUCUGGGCCGAUACUGACGCUGAGGAGCGAAAGCGUGGGGAGCAAACAGG